UUUUCUUUCUAUUUCGAUUUUUUUAUUUCAUUCCUAUUCUCCUUUCUCAGAAAAAGGGUCUUUAACCAAAGUAAAAGAUUACUUCGUUCUUGAUAGUUAGUUACUUACUCAGUGGAUAGGAACAUACUCUGGAUCAGAAUCAUGGGGAGUACUUCUUGAUCAUUUCUACGAACGUAAAGCCCCAAUUCGAAUUCCUUUUAUGUACAGAAAUAUCCUCUUGGAUAACUUACAUAAUCUCAAUUACUAAUCCUUUGUGUAUCUUGGUCUUCCUUUUAUGUACAGAAAUAUCCUCUUGGAUAACUUACAUAAUCUCAAUUACUAAUCCUUUGUGUAUCUUAGUCUUCCUAACCAUCCACUCAUUUUUUGUUUCAAAAACCUCCCGUUGUGGAAAUCCAUCUAUGGUAAUAGACAGUAAAAACUCCAUAGAGUUGGUCUUUUGAACCCGCUUCAAGCUAUCAUGACAAUUCACGAAUCUUGGGGUAAACAAUCUCUCUUGCUUAUGUUUACUUUUUUCACCAUUUGAUUCUUGUACAUAGGAAAUGAGACUCAACUUUUUUACUGCAAAUUUAGAAGCCGUUUUCUUUCACUCAUAUAACUAUCUGAUUUAGUUCAUCAACUCAAAU
RNAcentral lists this long non-coding RNA (623 nucleotides) under Nicotiana benthamiana. RNAcentral describes it as "long non-coding RNA (NBEN_LNC040207)". The record is from RNAcentral. Lineage: Eukaryota; Viridiplantae; Streptophyta; Magnoliopsida; Solanales; Solanaceae.